AUUAACGCUAGCGGUAGGCAUAAUACAUGCAAGUUGAACGGCAGCACAGGUAGCAAUACUGGGUGGCGAGUGGCGCACGGGUGCGUAACACGUAUGCAACCUACCCUAUACAGGCGAAUAACCUUUAGAAAUGAGGGCUGAUACGCCGUAGUAUUACAGAUGGGCAUCUAUUUGUAAUUAAAGAUUUAUCGGUAUAGGAUGGGCAUGCGUCCCAUUAGUUAGUUGGUAAGGUAACGGCUUACCAAGACGAUGAUGGGUAGGG
Molecule: ribosomal RNA, 262 nt
Filed under: uncultured bacterium
Lineage: Bacteria
Description: partial 16S ribosomal RNA
Rfam family: Bacterial small subunit ribosomal RNA
Source: RNAcentral